RNAcentral lists this ribosomal RNA (465 nucleotides) under uncultured bacterium. RNAcentral's name for it is "partial 16S ribosomal RNA". It matches the Rfam family "Bacterial small subunit ribosomal RNA", at positions 29 to 507 of the family's 1533-position model. The record is from RNAcentral.
ACGAACGCUGGCGGCGCGCCUAACACAUGCAAGUCGAACGAGCGAGAGAGAGCUUGCUUUCUCGAGCGAGUGGCGAACGGGUGAGUAACGCGUGAGGAACCUGCCUCAAAGAGGGGGACAACAGUUGGAAACGACUGCUAAUACCGCAUAAGCCCACGACCCGGCAUCGGGUAGAGGGAAAAGGAGCAAUCCGCUUUGAGAUGGCCUCGCGUCCGAUUAGCUAGUUGGUGAGGUAACGGCCCACCAAGGCGACGAUCGGUAGCCGGACUGAGAGGUUGAACGGCCACAUUGUGACUGAGACACGGCCCAGACUCCUACGGGAGGCAGCAGUGGGGAAUAUUGCACAAUGGGGGAAACCCUGAUGCAGCGACGCCGCGUGGAGGAAGAAGGUCUUCGGAUUGUAAACUCCUGUUGUUGAGGAAGAUAAUGACGGUACUCAACAAGGAAGUGACGGCUAACUACGUG